AACGAACGCUGGCGGCAUGCCUAACACAUGCAAGUCGAACGAGACCUUCGGGUCUAGUGGCGCACGGAUGCGUAACGCGUGGGAACCUGCCUUUAGGUUCGGAAUAACUCAGAGAAAUUUGAGCUAAUACCGGAUGAUGUCUUCGGACCAAAGAUUUAUCGCCUUUAGAUGGGCCCGCGUUGGAUUAGCUAGUUGGUGGGGUAAAGGCCUACCAAGGCGACGAUCCAUAGCUGGUCUGAGAGGAUGAUCAGCCACACUGGGACUGAGACACGGCCCAGACUCCUACGGGAGGCAGCAGUGGGGAAUAUUGGACAAUGGGCGAAAGCCUGAUCCAGCAAUGCCGCGUGAGUGAUGAAGGCCUUAGGGUUGUAAAGCUCUUUUACCCGAGAUGAUAAUGACAGUAUCGGGAGAAUAAGCUCCGGCUAACUCCGUG
Molecule: ribosomal RNA, 433 nt
Filed under: uncultured bacterium
Lineage: Bacteria
Description: partial 16S ribosomal RNA
Rfam family: Bacterial small subunit ribosomal RNA
Source: RNAcentral